GACGGGUGAGUAACACGUGGGUGAUCUGCCCUGCACUCUGGGAUAAGCCUGGGAAACUGGGUCUAAUACCGGAUAGGACCAUGCUUUAGUGUGUGUGGUGGAAAGUUUUUCGGUGUAGGAUGAGCCCGCGGCCUAUCAGCUUGUUGGUGGGGUAAUGGCCUACCAAGGCGGCGACGGGUAGCCGGACUGAGAGGUUGGUCGGCCACAUUGGGACUGAGAUACGGCCCAG
Molecule: ribosomal RNA, 229 nt
Filed under: uncultured Actinomycetales bacterium
Lineage: Bacteria; Bacillati; Actinomycetota; Actinomycetes; Actinomycetales
Description: partial 16S ribosomal RNA
Rfam family: Bacterial small subunit ribosomal RNA
Source: RNAcentral